Molecule: ribosomal RNA, 497 nt
Filed under: uncultured bacterium
Lineage: Bacteria
Description: partial 16S ribosomal RNA
Rfam family: Bacterial small subunit ribosomal RNA
Source: RNAcentral
GAUGAACGCUGGCGGCGUGCCUAAUACAUGCAAGUCGAGCGAACAGACGAGGAGCUUGCUCCUCUGACGUUAGCGGCGGACGGGUGAGUAACACGUGGAUAACCUACCUAUAAGACUGGGAUAACUUCGGGAAACCGGAGCUAAUACCGGAUAAUAUAUUGAACCGCAUGGUUCAAUAGUGAAAGACGGUUUUGCUGUCACUUAUAGAUGGAUCCGCGCCGCAUUAGCUAGUUGUUAAGGUAACGGCUUACCAAGGCGACGAUGCGUAGCCGACCUGAGAGGGUGAUCGGCCACACUGGAACUGAGACACGGUCCAGACUCCUACGGGAGGCAGCAGUAGGGAAUCUGCCGCAAAGGGCGAAAGCCUGACGGAGCAACGCCGCGUGAGUGAUGAAGGUCUUCGGAUCGUAAAACUCUGUUAUUAGGGAAGAACAAAUGUGUAAGUAACUAUGCACGUCUUGACGGUACCUAAUCAGAAAGCCACGGCUAACUACGUG